RNAcentral lists this ribosomal RNA (253 nucleotides) under uncultured Ruminococcus sp. RNAcentral's name for it is "partial 16S ribosomal RNA". It matches the Rfam family "Bacterial small subunit ribosomal RNA", at positions 524 to 776 of the family's 1533-position model. Lineage: Bacteria; Bacillati; Bacillota; Clostridia; Eubacteriales; Oscillospiraceae. The record is from RNAcentral.
UACGUAGGGAGCAAGCGUUGUCCGGAUUUACUGGGUGUAAAGGGUGCGUAGGCGGCCCUGCAAGUCAGAAGUGAAAUCCAUGGGCUUAACCCGUGAACUGCUUUUGAAACUGUAGGGCUUGAGUGAAGUAGAGGCAGGCGGAAUUCCCGGUGUAGCGGUGAAAUGCGUAGAGAUCGGGAGGAACACCAGUGGCGAAGGCGGCUCUCUGGUCUGUAACUGACGCUGAGGCUCGAAAGCAUGGGUAGCGAACAGG